UUGUUCUAGAUCCACUUGUUAAACACAAGAACAGUCAAAUUACCAAUAUGUUACUAUUAGUUUCAGAUGGAUAUGGUACAGCCUAAUUCUUUGGCAGCAGUACUAAGAAACUGAGUAGGCAUUCCAGUUGCAAGUAAGCUAUGAGCUUCCCAUGUUAAACACUUCUCAAUAUCAGUUUGCCAGUUGAUAUUGCCUACACUUAAAUACUGAUAAGCAGGGCCAUGAAUGCCAUUUUUGUCCACUUUUUUCCCACUAGCUUUUAGUGAACCAGCAUACAGAAUUGCACGAAGAACUGAUGUGCUAAGAGCCCGAACAUGAGCGCUUGGAUGAGAGAGACAGCGCGCUGUCGCUGGUAAUCGGCACUGCAAAUUAGCAAUCAAACAAUUGUACUAGAUGUGUCAGUAUGCAAUCAACCCAUCAAAUUGUUUGAUGAACAAAAUGUAAUCUCUGAUGCCUAAUGAUGCUCACGUCUUCUUGCAAAAAUGAGACUUAAUUUAUGUCACAUGGCAUACAGAAAUCCUCAUUAAAUUUCAAUGUAAAUCACACUACGUUUCUAGUAGCAGCACUAAAGAAUGUUAUUUACAUGGGUCUAUUACCUUCAAUAGGUUCAAAAGGCCAUCGGCCACAGCCAAUCCGGAUUCUCCCCACUCGAGUACAGGUUGGACCGCUCUAGCAGUUGCUUCGAGGAGCUUUUUCAUUGUUAGAGGAUGCAAAUACAGGAAAUUAGUCAGUAAACAGUGUGUGUAUAAGAAUUAAUCUUUCCUACAUUAAUAAUGUAUACACAACCAGGCCUGCAUAUAUGCCACAUGAUUUCAAUUUGGAUUUGAUCUCUACAUUUUACACGUGGGAUGUAUUUAGAUCCGUUAGCGUAUACAAUGUCAAUGUAUUAUAGAUUUACCCAUAAAAAAAAACAUUUUUUUUUGAGGAAAAAGAUCAAUACUUUCAUUCAUAAUUUCAAACAAGCAUAUAUGGAAAAGAUUAGGAAAGGGCAAAAUUGAACAUUUAAAUUUAGCAAUUCAAAAGUCUUUACAAUUUUAAAGAAAAAAGAAAGGACAGCUGCUCAUUCAAAUAAUUAGAAUCAGCUACCUCCAGUUGCGGUAAAGUGCAUGCUUCUCCAUCAACGAGCAUCUCAUCUGUGGCGCGUAACAGGAGGUCUGAAGCACUGGAUAGAAUUACCAAUGAUUCAGGUGUAUCAUGAUUUCUCAUUAGCUCCACAAUCACUUUUACAAUGCGUUGAUUGAUCCUCCACAUCUUCUGACCAAGAUCAUCAUCUUUGGCAAUCCACGGUUUCAGUUCCCUCUCUGCCUGACAAGCCAACAAAGCAAAGAAAGCACUUGGGAUCCUCGGUGACAUAUUUUCUAUGCCAAUCCAAUGCCACCUCUAAUAUAUCGCCAAGUGUUCUGUUAUUAUUUGCACUUUAAUUUUUUAAUAAUUCAAAUUGGUUUGGUUUAAUACAAAUUUUCUUUACCCUCUAAAAAUUUUGAACCAAAAUUAACCGAUCGGUUUAAUUCAAAUACCAUCACUUUUAAGUUAACCACCCACGAUCUGUUGCAUUGGGGAAAAAGAAAAAGAAAACCUAAACAAAAUUGCCUCCAAACUCUUUCAUCGGUGAUUGCUUUGAACAAAGCCAAAAAGAAACAAUCGGCAGUGGAGACAAGGAAUAACAUAAUAAAUAUGAGCAGGUAUUGAGUAUUUACAUGGAUACAAGGUGAAUAAACCUGCCCUUGUUCACCAAAACAUUUCUGCUGCGAAUGUGCUGAUUGAUCAACGAAACAGACCUUUGCUUUCUGAUUCGGGUCUCCACAAAUUACUUACUAAUGAUACUGUCUUCUCAGCACUCAAGGAUAGCGCUGCGAUGGGAUAUUUGGCUCCUGAGUACAGUCCUACUGGCCGGUUUACAGAGAAAAGUGAUAUUUAUGCAUUUGGGGUACUUUUGUUUCAAAUCCUUUCUGGGGUUCGAAAAGUAAACUUAGGAAAAACUCAGGACUUCAUGGAUAGAAAUCUCCAUGGAAAGUUCUCUGAACCUGAAGCCAUCAGCCCAGAUUCUGUGCAUAAUUGGACUUCUUUGUUUCCAAAUAUUUAUUAUGUUAUUCCUUGUCUCCACUGCCGAUUGUUUCUUUUUGGCUUUGUUCAAAGCAAUCACCGAUGAAAGAGUUUGGAGGUAAUUUUGUUUAGGUUUUCUUUUUCUUUUUCCCCAAUGCAACAGAUUGUGGGUGGUUAACUCAAAAGUGAUGGUAUUUGAAUUAGACCGAUCGGUUAAUUUUGGUUCAAAAUUUUUAGAGGGUAAAGAAAAUUUGUGUUAAACCAAACCAAUUUGAAUUAUUAAAAAAUUAAAGUGCAAAUAAUAACAGGACACUUGGCGAUAUAUUAGAGGUGGCAUUGGAUUGGCAUAGAAAAUAUGUCACCGAGGAUCCCGACUAGACAUUUGAAGCAAUCUAAUUAGAUAAACACUGAGGUUUGCUUCAAUGAGAACUGCAACUUGACCAGGUAUUUGUGAUUAGCUCCAUUUUGGAGACUGUUCACUGAUAACUUUACUGUAUGUUGAAGAUGACCUCUGAUAAUUGAGUGAAUGACAUAAAUUUUGUUCUUGUCAGAUAGCAAAGCUGAGUAUGAUCCCUGUUUCCUGCUUAUUGGAAGUUGUGUUUGACAAAAUUAGAUAUUCAAGAGAUACAAAGCUCAGCAUUGCUCUUGUCCUCCUGGGUGUUGGCGUCUGCACAGUCACUAAUGUUAGUGUCAACACUAAAGGAUUUGUUGCUGCCUUUAUUGCAGUUUGGAGUACUUCUCUCCAACAGUAUGUAAGUUGUUUAUUCCUCUGCUCAAUUCUGUAUGUAAGGUUGUAUGAUGUCUUGAUCGUUCAUCUGGUUAAUGCAACAUUAGAUCAUGCAGACCCCACGAUUACCAGUCCUGGUGAUAUGAUGAAAGGUUUAUUAAAGAGAAAAAAAAAAAUUUUGAUGCAAUUUGUCUAUUAUAGUUAGUAGAUGCCCUACUAAUAUCCGACACCAGAUGCAUAAAGCAUGUGACAUCUUUUGCUCCCCUGUCCAUCUGAAAAUUUUUCUGAAGAAAUGCAGAAUACGAAUCCUGUAAUUUUAUGUAAUUAUCCCCCACAAUUACGUAUUUUUAAAGUUGCUUUUGGUGCUUAUAGAUAUAUUAUUUAUAUUCAAAAGAAAAAAAUACUGUUUGGUGCUUAAUCUUUUAUUUGUGCAUCUGAAAUGCUUGGAACCUCAGGUUAAUCUAAGAACUUGACUUUCUUAUGCAGUUUGUUCAUUUCCUUCCACGGAAAUACUCUCUUAGCUCAUUCAAUCUUCUAGGACAUACAGCACCAGCCCAGGCUGCAUCUUUGCUGCUAGUAGGCCCAUUUCUAGAUUAUUGGUUGACAAACAAGAGGAUUGAUGCCUUUAACUUCAACGUACCAUCUUUGGUAAGUCUUUGUGCCCGAUGCUCAUGUUAACUGUGAUCAUCCCAGUUUCUCCUAUGGUUAUACUUAUGUUACAUUCUCAUUCUUAAUUAGAUGAUAAUCAUGUGCUUUUUAAUCUUGGGAAGUGGCAUUGCUGCGGAUGCAUCAAAUUUUGCUUAUUGUACUCAACUUUUGGCAUGCUUACUAGCAUGCAACCUAUACAAAUGUUAAUUUCAUGCUGGAACAGGUUUUAUUCCACUGAAAGUAUGAUAUGCAAAUGGUAAUAGUUCACUGUUUGCAAAAUAGUGCAUCAUGCCCUGCCAAAAAAACCUUUUGUAUAUCUUGCCCGAUGUCUGUUGAAUAUUUUCCACAUGUUGAACCCCUUUUUUGUUUUACAGACCUGUAUUUCACCGCAUGUCAUGCUUAGAAGGGAAAAGAAUUCUGCCAUAUAUGAUGAACUCUUAUUUGUUUGAGUUUGUAAUACGUUUCUAAAUUAUCAUACGACAUAGGAUAGUGGAUUCACAGCCUUACAGGAGUGACAGAUCUAGCAUAAGAUGUUGACUUGAUGAGCUGUCCCAAUUAAAUUUUGCCAACUGUGGGAAAGAUACACAAUUUAUUUGUUUAUUUUUUAAUUUUCAAACUUCUUUUCUUUUUCCCUUCAUAUUUUUUGAAUAUAAUAGCAUGGUUUGUGGAUAGCCACGCACACUGCUUUUUCUGCUCGUAGUCACGCACACUACUUUUUCUGCUCUUAUUCUCAUUCUGUUUGUCUGUUUGAUCUUAACUUCUUUUUAAUGGCAUUUUAAUUUAUAAACCUUAUAAUUGUUGUCACAUUUAUUUUUUCCCUUUAAUUUGUUUAUCAUAACAUAAGGAUGCCUUUUCUUGAGGUGCUUGUUUAUUUUAAGGUGUUUCCUCACACUAUUUUAUCUUUGGGCAUCUUCUCAGGUGUUUAUAGUCCUUUCAUGCACUUUUGCAGUUGGAACAAAUCUGAGCCAGUUCAUCUGCAUUGGCAGAUUUACUGCUGUCUCAUUCCAGGUCCUUGGCCAUAUGAAAACCAUUCUUGUUUUGAUCCUGGGGUUCUUAUUUUUCGGGAAAGAGGGUCUUAAUUUACAUGUGGUCAUUGGCAUGAUUAUUGCUGUUGUUGGAAUGGUAUGGUAUGGCAAUGCUUCUUCCAAACCAGGUGGAAAGGAGCGUCACAGUCAUUCAUCUCGAAGCAGCCAGCAGAAGCAUGGUUCAGAAUCUUCUAUUACAAAGGUGCGCAGAUUUUGUUAGCUAGAACUUGAAAGUUAUGCUUAGCAGUAGUCAAAUACAAGGCAUUGAAAGUUAAUGAACUUAUACAAGGAAGAGAUGCGUUGGAAGUUGGAACUGUUCGCCUAAGGUGUGAUUUAGCUUUUGCCCAAUCUUCUGUGGUUUGUCUCGGAUGUUUAAAGAAGCUUGUUGCAUAUUGCCUAGCAAUCGAUAUUUCUUGUUGCUUUCAUGCUGAAAGAUAGUUGAUAUUGUAGAGUACACAAUACACAUAUGAAGCAGUGUUACAUCAAGCAAGCCUACCCUCUCCAGCAUACCAUUAUUUUCCAGGUUUUAUGCCUUUCAAGCUUCAUAAAGUGGAAGCCAAUAGAAAAACUAAAUUUAAAGAGGAGAUGUGACGACAAAGAAAAUAAUGUAGCCCAUGAGACAGAUUAAUGUCAAGAAAUCCUAAGACAGCUGAAAGUCACCAUGGAGAUGCUUAGGCAGUGCUUGUGCACCCAUUGAUAAAAGGCUAGAAAUCAUGUGCAUGGUUGGCCUUGAUUGAGGAUCAACAUUCAGACAGGCCCUUGCAAGCUUGAGAAUUGAUACCAGAGUCUCUUCAACUUCCUGACCAGGAUACGGAAGUCGUUGGUCCAUCAAGUCUUUCAGUUGGAUGUUCACAGAUGUGGGCGAUGUAAGGUGAGGAAUGAAGUCACCAGGAUGGCUGCCUUUGAUUACUUCAAGGGUUAGAACCCCAAAGCUAUACACAUCACAUUUUUCAGUUACUCUCAUUGUGUAGGCAAGCUCUGCAAGGCAAAAUCAUGUCAUCAUUAACUUUGUGAUCAUGCUGUAAUUAACUUCUUGAAUGGUUCAUAAGAGAAAAAAAACUAUAUUACCUGGUGCAACAUAUCCAUAGGUGCCUGCUACUGCACUCCAGUUAGACGAGUCUAUCUUCAGAAGCUUAGCCGUGCCAAAAUCUGAAACAUGAGCUUCAUACUCUGAAUCAAGCAAAACAUUGUUGCUUGAAAUGUCUCGAUGAACUAUAGGCGGCGAACAAUCAUGAUGCAUGUAAGACAGAGCAUGAGCAAUGCCCUUAAUGAUUUUUAUCCUUUUCUGCCAAUCCAAUUUUUUAGCUUCUUCUUCAAUGCUCAAAAGUUUAGCCAAGCUGCCUCUUUCAAGGUACUCAUAAACCAAAAACGAGUAUUUGGCACUUGAGCAGUAACCCUGAAGCUUCACAAUGUUUCGAUGCCUGAUCUUUGUCAAGGCCCUUAUCUCCUUCAAGAAACCUUCUUGAUCUGCAGACUCAGACAAGUGGUGGAGUCUCUUUACAGCCACUGUGUUAGCCGGUGGAAGAUUUGCCUUGUAAACACUUCCAUGACCUCCUUUCCCUAUGCAAAAUGUUGGAUCAAAAUCCUGCGUCACUUUUAAGAUGUUCUCAUACAUUUCUUUGCCAUCAAAUAAGGAUAUAGAGAACACAUCUCCACCCUUUACUUCCCCGUCUUUCACUGUUGGAUCUCCCUUUCUUUUUUCGUGAAAAAAGAGAAUUCCAGCAAACGCAGAAAAAAGCAUGAGUGCUCCAACAAGAGGGAGUGCAAUUAUGAGAGCAAGUUUCUGCCCAUUCUCAUGCUUUUUGACCAAUUGAGGACUAUCACACGGUCGUACCCCUGUAAUGUUGCCACACAAACCUUUAUUCCCUUUAAGUUGUUCAAUAAUGGCAUUUGCAAAUGCUUUUCCACAAGGAAUUGGACCCUCUAACUCAUUGAAAGAUAAAUCAAUAUGCUGAAUACCGGGCAAUUCUGCCAAAGCCUUUGGAAUGACACCUGAAAGGUUAUUAUGGGAGAGAUUCAACGUUUCCAGACUGUUCAAACUUCCAAAUUCAGUUGGUAUCUCUCCGAUGAGGAAAUUGUGGCUCAAAUCAAGAAGGUCAAGGUGAAUUAACUUACCCAACUGGGAUGGAAUACUGUGGCUUAAACUAUUGCUGCUCAAGUUCAAAAAGGUUAGUCGCUGGCACUCUCCUAUGCUUCCUGGAAUUGAUCCAUUUAAUAAGUUCACUGCUAGGUCGAGAGAGAAUAGAUCUGUCAGUGAUCCUAACUCUAGAGGUAUACCACCCGAGAGUUGGUUGUCAUUUAAAAGCAGCCGUUGAAUGGACUUCAGCUUCCCAAGUUCCUUUGGAAUCUCCCCAGCUAUCUGAUUUGAAGAAAGAUCAAGGAAGCCCAGACUAGGCAGAUUCCCAAAUUCUGGAGGAAUGUGACCUGUGAUGCUGUUAUUUGCAAUUGAAAGAGUUGUCAAGUUUUUGCAUCUACCCCAGUUGUUUGAGAGCUCCCCAGAAAAGCUGUUGUUGCUAAGAAAGAUAAAUUCAAGGUGUGGAUAAAUACCAAACGAUUCAGACAGGUCCCCAGUGAACUGGUUCCCAUCAAAUCGAGCUCUGACUAAACUUGCACAGUUUUUCAAACUUUCUGGAAUUGGACCAGAAAGGCUGUUAUUGUUGACAGUGAAGUCUCGAAGAGUUUGACUGCUACAUAGCCCUUCUGGUAAAUGACCGGAGAACUGAUUUUCAUCCAUUUCCAAGACAACCAACUUUGUCAGUUUCCCUAGCUCUGGGGGAAUGGAGCCAGAAAGUUGGUUAUCGCGAAGAAACAGAGUUUCCAAUUCUAUCAAAUUGCCAAGUGAAGUAGGAAUCAACCCGUAAAGUUGAUUCUCACUUACUUCGAAUUCGACCAGAGACUUCAGGUUGCCUAACUCUUCCGGGAUUGAACCAGAAAGUUGAUUCCGAUAUAGAUGCAAAAGAGUCAGAUCCCUCAGGUUACCUAGUGAAGUUGGGAUUGGACCAGUGAGCUUAUUUCCCCAUAGGCUCAGACUCUGGAGUUUUUUCAACUUUCCUAUCUCAGGAGGAAUGGAACCAGAUAGGCCGUUUUCAAAAAGAUGCAAAAGCAGUAGGUUAUUCAGGUUACCAAUCGAGGCUGGAAUAGGGCCUGUCAGCUGGUUGUUGUCGAUGUCAACCUCAACAAGAUUGUUGAGGUUUCCAAUUUCACGAGGAAUAGAACCUGAAAGUUGAUUUUCAUAGAGAUAUAAAUAAGUCAAGUUUUUCAGAUUGCCAAGGGAGGCAGGAAUAGGGCCCGUAAUGUUGUUUGUACACAAGAUAAGCUCAACGAGAGACCUUAACUGGCCAAUCUCCUGAGGAAUUGAGCCAUUUAAGUAGUUCUCGUUCAAGUGGAGGGUUUGAAGGUUGGUUAAGAGGCCAAUUUCUGGUGGGAUGGUUCCAGAGAAUUUAUUAUAGGACAAAUCAAGAUAACUGAGCUUCGAAAGCUUGCUUACCUGAGGAGGUACGCUGCCAGAAAGUUCAUUCAUGCUUAAAUCAGCCUUUUCAAGAUUUGGAAGAGAUGAAAAUGGAAAGCUGUAAAGCGUACCAUUGAUACUUGAAUGUGUGAGGUUUAACGUGCUUACACUGCCAUCAAUGCACGACACACCGAACCAAGUGCAAGGGCUGACACUUGCUUUUGGAUGAUUACGAGUGUUUUGAAGAUUCCAAGAUGUUAGGAGGGUGUUGUUCAGGUUUGAAAAACUGGCUUUCCAUUUCAAAAGGGCUUCAGCCUCCUCAACAGAAGCUGAAGCAAAUUGGAGAGCCAAAACUGAGAUAAGCAGGAGCAGAAGAAGUUCGAACGAUGGGUUUUGAUGAUUAGCUAAAGAACCCAUGAUUUUUUUUUUGUUGUGAUUUUUCUAUGUUGAACUAAAAAUGGCUUAAAGUGUACACAAUUUAUACUGGAGAUAAAGCUAGUUGGAGACCCCACCCCACCAUUGCAACACUAGACUCUGUGGUCUUUCCACGGUUUCUUCCAGCCAUAAAGACUGUUCAAUAUAACAUGGACAUGCUUGUCAAGUUUUAGGAGACUGGAGUCGACUUGAGUGUGUUUCACUUCUCAAGUCAAGCCAAUUUAUCCUUUUAAGAAAGUCAAGCAAAAGUUCUAAUUGAUACCAUUAAUAUUGGAGUCUUUGAAAGUGAAGAACAAGUAAAUUGAUCAACGAGACUUAAACAUGCAUUACUACCCAGCUAAAGAAAGAGCAAUUACGAUAGGUAGCGCCCUAAAUAUUGCUUUUUUUUUGCACAGUGAGCAUUAAGGUCCAUCAAGAAUAGCAUUUCAUGCCAUCUUUUUUAGAGAAAAGGAAAAAUUACACUUUAUCCCUUGUGGUUUAGUAUUUUUAUAUAUAACCCCCUUAUAGUUUCAAAAGUUAUACAUAACCCCUUCAUGAUUUGGAUUAAAGUGUUAGAGUGACGGAAUUUGCAAUCCAUAACGGAGUCAUCUAAAAUGUCAAAAAUACCUCUAUGUAAAGUUGAAAAUUAUUUCUUAACUACAGGGGGGUUAUGUGUAUAUUUUUAAAACCAUAAGGGGGUUAUAUGGUAAAGUAUAAAAUCAUAAAGGGGUUAUAUGGUAAAAUAUAAAAUUAUACAUAGUUAGUGUGUUAUGUAUAUUAUAUUUAUAUAUCUUGGUCAUUUCAACCAUUUUAAUUUUUAAACAAGCAUAAUUUCGAUAUUUUAAUAGGUUUCGUUAUGAAUGAUCAUUUCCGUCACUUUGACGCUUUAAUUAAAUCAUGAGGGGAUUAUGUAUAAUUUUUGAAACCAUAUGAGGGUUAUGUACGAAAACACUAAACCAUAGGCAGAUAAAGUGCAAUUUGCCCUAGAGAAAAAAAAAACAAUACUCUUUUUUCUCCUAAUUCCUUGAGUUUAUCUAAAAUCUGUUUAUCACUGGGUAUAAGUGGCGAUACUUCUCAAGUCAACCUGAUCUUAACUCUUGAUGGUUCUUGGCAAUUUCCUUUAGCUCUCUAAAUGGCUCGUUAGCCAAUAGGUGUAGAUUUGUAAUCGAGGAGAAAUCGGGUCUCUGAAAAUGAAAAUGAAAAUGGAGUUGUGUGGAACCAAAAGACUUGGUCAGAAACAUUGGCAAAAAGGCCAUUUUUUCCAUCACUAAAAAUGAUAUUUCUAACUUCAUAAUAAAUGGAAAUUAAUAUUCUUGACUCUUUCAACAGAAGAUGCUUCUUGGUCUGUGCCAAUACAACAAGUAAUUAAAUUACUCGGCAUUUUAAUGCUUCUUAGACUCUUCGGUCAUCAAGCCAUAGGAGUUCACUAACUUGUCCAGAGGAUUUCCGAGAAAUGGUGUAAAACAAUGUCAGAUUUACUCUGAAAUUUAAAGACACAAAUUGAAAUUCUAACAAAUUUCGUUGAUUUUUUUUCUGAAUUUUUUGGUAUUUAAUUUGAUCAACUUCUGAAAUCCGUUAAUCUGUAGUCAUUCCAAAAUUCUCCACGUAACUAAAUUUGUUAUAUUUCUAUAGAAGUUCUCAUAACAAGUGAGCUGGAAUGAAAGAAAUAAAGUAAACCAACUCAUUUACUGGCUCCCAGAAAUUGACUUCGCACAUGAUUCAGCCUUUCGCUUUAUUACUAUCUAUAAAACCCUGUGUGUUACUUCCAUGCUUGACUUGUCCACCUUUCUUUCCUGCUUAACAGCAUUAUUGUUUUGCAAAUUAAAAAAGUGUAACAUUUAUGAUUUAAGUAAAAUGUUAUCAUGAGUAUAUAAAAUAUUUGACAUGACACAAUAGUAUGAAUACACGGUGGUAUAGUAUCUUCAUAGUUUAGAAAAAUUUGAACAUCUUUUAGAUCUAUGACUUCUAUGUUCUAAGUAAGUACAAGUAUUGCAACAAGAUGUUGAGAAUCAAAAGUUGAUAGAAUUUGUAUUUCGGGGUAUAAAAUCACCUGCAAAGCAGGUGAGAUAUUCAUAGUAACUAUAAAGACUUGGAAGCGAAAAAAAGGAACAAAACGACUUGUUGGAAAUCUUUCACUAGAUCGUGCUUUCUGCUGAGGUUACAUUAGUUUCCUGAAUACAAAACUAUAUUGCAGGAUGCUUUCUGGGACUAAUUUGGCUGAGUUAUUGAUGUAUCGAAUUUUAUAAUCCACAAUUCUUGCUACGGUCAAAGUGGAAUCGUCUCUUCCAAUAACCAAUAUGAGAAUGAGAACUAAAAGGAGGCCUUAGGAUUUGUGGAAUAAGCAUACACUGGUUUUCAUCCAAUCAAAACGGUUCCUACUGUCUGAAUUCUUCCAAGAAAUUUGGUUGCCAAUCAUCUCUGUUUUAUCCUUGUUUCAUGGCUUUUUCUUUUCUUUUACGGCAACUUAUCCAUAUUAUGUGAAUUCGUUUCAAGUACUUCUUUUUGUGUUGGGGAAAUACCGUCUACUUGCAUCUGAUACUUGGUUAUGUUCAAUGCUUCAUUUAGGAUACUUCAACUUAUUUGAGGGAAUGUUUUUUCUGAAUUCUUACACGGGUUUUAAGAUUUCCUAAUCCUAGAUCAUUGUGGAUGAUAAUUCAGGAAAUCUAGAGUAAACAUUGAGCAUGUUUGGAUUGUAAUGUGCCAGGCCGCUGCAAAGACAGAUCCUUUGUCAGUACAACCACAUAUUUCCUAUGGGAUUGUUGGUUUCUAAGAGAGCAUUCCACCUGUCAAGAUUACAUUAAUAUAUCUUGAUCAAAAUUUCCAGUUUGAGCCAAGGAUUCUUUAAGAAUUGUUUAAGAAUGAAAAUUGGUCUUUAUAUAAGUGGUGUGCUGAGAAAUUUUUACACAGGUUUCGAUUUUUUAUUCUUCAGUGAAAGGCCCGGAAAAAGAAAUGGAUUCUAUUCUAGCAAAAUUUGCUGAUUCACCACACGUCUCUGAUAUUGCUGAUGGAAUAAGGGAAAGCCCGUUUCUCCCUUGGACAUCGCUGCAAUUUCUGAAGCAACAUAGUACCCGAGUGAAGCGUUUGAGGGAGGGAUAUAUCAAUGAGCUAAGCUCUGAUAGACCAAUUGAUACUUCUUACCAUCAAGACUUGUCAACUGCUAGCAUCAUGAAGUUAGCAAAAGCCCAACUACUUGAGCUCAAUUACCAGAGAAGACUGAUGUUCUCUCCUAUGUGGCCAGUCGUUUUGGAACUCAAAAUGUCUCAACUAUGAGGUUCCUGGAGACUUGGAACUUGCAUUAGUGCUUCAAGCAAGUGCUUCAACCCUAUUCUGAUACCCGUUGUUGGGAUCUAAACGCGGAACAAACAACUAUUAACACAUCAAGUACACAACAAUUUAAUGAAAAACAAAUCACAAGCAUAAAACAUAAACGAUACGCAAGAUAUAACAGAUAUAACGUGUUUCAACUCCAACAUUGUACCUAUUAUAAAACAAUAAAGCUUAUAUAAAAAUAGAAUUUUAAUUCAAACCCAAUCCUUGUAUAAUUUCUCUCACUUCCUAUGAACCUCUCUCACUCCAUGUAAAGAUUACAUGGUUUCCUUGUGUGCCAUUUUGUAGUAUGCCAACCCUCACCUAGGAAAUAAUUGUUAAUUUCUAAACUUAUACAUAAUAGGAAAUAAUAUCUAACUUAUACAGAAUAGGAAAUAAUUUAUAAUUUUUAAACUCAAACUCAUACAAAUAGGAAAUUUCUUGGCUACUACUUCAAGUAACUAAAUCAUUAAGGAAAUCAGUUACCUCCACACAAAAUAAGAAAUCUACAUAAAAGAAAUUAAUGCUUUCUGCCUAGAAGUGCCACAAUGGCUAAAGCUACAACUGCAGCAGCAUUUAAAAUUUAAGGAUUAUUCUACGGGUCAAAAUAACUAUACUGACUAACUGAUUGAGUGUCUUAAGCUUAAUACGAAAACAUGAAUUAUUGGAGCUAGUCCCAUCAGAUCUCUGUUCUUUAUUAUUCUCAGUGAAAAGAUAACUGGAAAGACAUGGAUACAAGUCCAGCAAAUUAUGCAAAUUCAGUACCACAUAUAUCCUAUCUAGCUGAAGGAAAGAAGGAAAGUCCGUUUCUGCCAGGGACAUCGCUGGAAUUUCUGAAGCAACAUGGUACCAAAUUGAAGCGUUUGAGGGAAGGAAAUCUCAAUGAGCUGAGCUCUGAUACACUGAUGGAUACUCCUGACAAUCCAGCUCCGUCAACUGCUAGCCUCAUGAAGGUGGCAAAAGUGCAACUACUUAAGUUCAACUCCCAGAAGAUUGAUGUUCAUUCUUAUGUGGCCAGUCGCAUUGGAACCAUGGUUCGAAGUCUCGGCCGAGACCGAGACGACUCGGCCGAGUCGUCACCGUCUCGACUCCUACCGAUACGAUACCGUGACGAAACGAUACCGAAAUACUUGACUCGCCGAGAAAUCGGCCGAGUCGUCACCGCGAUGGAUUGACUCGGCGAGUCACUCCGAGUUAUCCCGAGUCAAGACGAGAAAUCAGCCGAGUCACACCGUGACGGAUUGACUUGGCCGUUUCUUUUACUAUUUUUUAAUUAUUUUUAUUUAGCAUACAUUUUUAUAUUAUUAACAAUUUUUAGAAUAUUAAAUACUUUAAAAUUUGCGUCUUACCGAGACCGCGACCGAUAUGCCGAGACCGAUGUGGAACGUUCCGGAACGCGACCGCAACCGUGACUUUGAACCAUGAUUGGAACUCAACUGGUCUCCACUCUGAAGUUCCUGGAGACUUGGAACUUGCACUACUACUUCAAGCUGCUGCUGGAAAGGUGGCCAAUCGACAAUAUGUGCAAGCAAGGAAGUUGCUCAGCUGUGCCGUCGCUCUGCUUCUAAAAGCGGCAGUCCUGUCCACAGAGUUGUGUAUUGUUUCGCUGAAGCUCUUGAAAAGAAGAUUGAACUAGAGUGGGGAAUAGCUCCAACAGAAGAACUGGUGGGGAAGCUAAGGAGGCCAGUGGACGAGAUGCAGGCCAAGACUCGCAUGCAACCUCAACGAGAAAGACCCUUCACUAUUUUAACUGAGUUUAGAGCAACAGAAUUGUUGGAAUAUGCAACUUUUUCUACAUAUUUUGCUAGAUUUUGUUUGAUAUCAAAAUAAUUUAGUUAUUAGAAAAUAAGGAUAUUUGUUAACCAAAGAUCAUGUUGGUUUGUUAACAAAUAUUUUAGAUAAGAUUUGCUAGUAGUAGAAGAUUAUAUUUUGUUGAGAUUUUUAGGAUAAUUGUUAGUUGGAUAUUUUGCUAGUUUGUUUCAUGUAAUCACUAUAAAUAGUGAGUUGAUGAAUGUAAAACAUAAGCUCAUUUUCCACCUUCAAUAGAAGUCUCUUAUAAGCUUUUUUUGCAACACUAAGAUGUUGUUUCUUAGUUCAUGCCCCAAAAAACCAACAAAGUGGUAUCAGAGCCUAUAUCUUAAGGGCCUGAGUCUUUUUUUGUUUUGAGAGUGAUGCAUUGGUGAGGAUCCUUUAUAAGUUCAAAGCCAUGACAGGAAAGAACUUUUUGUCAAAUAUUUCAACUUUUAGUGGUGAAACUUACCAAAUUUGGGCCAUAAAAUUUUGGACUUAUUUGGUAGUCAAUGAUCUACGGGAUAUGGUGGAGACGAAUUUUGUUUCAUCAGUAUUUGAAGAGCUGAUGGAUACACAAAUUAGAGACCACAGAGUUGCAGUUAGACAGAGAUCCAAGGCCAGCACUCACAUAUCAGUUUUUGAUGCCGUUUUCACAAAGAUAAUGGCUAAUGAUUUGAUUGAGAAUAAAUUAUUCUCAAUUAAAAUAAAAAGGAGAAGUUUCACUAUGAAUUGGUCGGAUUUUGACAAUUCUAAAGUGGAACAUGAUGAUGAAAUCAAGAAUUCAGAUCCUGGAAAAAUUCAGGAGGAGAUCAUUGAUAAGUCAGGAGAUAUCAAAUUGACUCCUGAUAUUUAUCAAGAUUAUAACAUUUCUGUUUUUGAGUCUACAGAUUUUGAUGGUCAUGACAAAAUGAAGAACCAUGCAGAAUUUCAUAUUUUUUGUAUAGGUUCAAAUAUCGUCAAAGAAUGUUCCACUUUAAACCUAUGAGAAGGUUAUUUGGAAACAUUAAAAAAAAAAAAUCAUCUUUUAUGUGGAGUUUGGCAUGAGAAGACAGAAAAGUGACUUGUUGCAAGGCUAAUAUUUAGCUUGCAUAAAAAUCCAAAGGAAGAAGUUCAUUGCAAGGUGAAUCAUCAAUUGCAAAAUUUCUUACAAAAGUCCAAUCCAAAACAAGAUUCAAAGAUUUGAGAAGACAAUUCAAAAUCUGCAGCAAAAGUGGCAAGGAGGAGUGUUGGAAUAUGCAACUUUUUCUACAUAUUUUGCUAGAUUUUGUUUGAUAUCAAAAUAAUUUAGUUAUUAGAAAAUAAGGAUAUUUGUUAACCAAAGAUCAUGUUGAUUUGUUAACAAAUAUUUUAGAUAAGAUUUGCUAGUAGUAGAAGAUUAUAUUUUGUUGAGAUUUUUAGGAUAAUUGUUAGUUGGAUAUUUUGCUAGUUUGUUUCAUGUAAUUACUAUAAAUAGUGAGUUGAUGAUUGUAGGACAUAAGCUCAUUUUCACCUUCAAUACAAGUCUCUUAUAAGCUUUUUUUGCAACACUAAGGUGUUGUUUCUUAGUUCAUGCCCCAAAAAACCAACAAGAAUCCAUCUUGAAUGCUGUAGCAUCAGAUAAAAGGGUUCAUCUGAUAGAUUUUCAAGAUAGCAAUGGAGCACACUGGACACUGAUUAUGCAGGCUUUAGCUGUCAGAUACGAAUGCCCCCUUGAACAUCUCAAGAUAUUUGCUGUUGGAACCUGUAAGCAGAUAAUGGAAGAGACUGGCAUGUGGUUGCCAUCUUUCGCUGAGACCCUCAAUUUGCCUUUUUCAUAUAAGAUGGUUGUUUCAGAUCUGAAGGACCUCAGGGAAGAUUAUUUUGAGUUGGAAUUUGAUGAAGAGUUAGCUAUUUAUUCGGACUUGCGUCUGUGGACUCAACUAGUAUGGCGCAAUCACCUGAAAGCUCCAAUGGGUGUAAUCAGAAAACUCAAGCCAAGGAUAGUGGUGGCCAAAGAAAUCAUCCCUCAUUCUAAAGAAAUCAUUCCUCAUUCUAAUUAUCCAAUUCGUUAUCAAUCAACGAACAUUAACUUCUUCUCUUUCGGACGGAGAUAUCUUCGCUCCUUCAGCCAAUUGUAGCCAAAAUUUUUCGUCGAGGAUUUUGGGUUGAGGAAAUAUUUAUGUCUACUCCAAAAAUGGAGAGUUUUAUGAAAUUAGUUAAUUUGGUAGUAGAAUAAUUUUAAUCCGGCACACAUCUUGUGCAGACAAAACGACCCCUUACUUAUCCCCAGUCACUUGAGUGUGUUGCUAUUUUUGUUCGACAUAAUAACUCAAAUAGACAGAAAGACAACGAGUAUACAUAUUUUUGUAGUUGGAGGGCUAAAAUUGCCCAUGUAAUAGUUAAAGAGCCAAAAUUUGUAAUUUGUAAUAGUUUGAGGGUCAUUAGACCAUUUUAUCCUAUAUACAUGCAUGCAUGGAUGCAUGCAUACAUACAUACAUAUAAACUUAUUGUUAAAAAAAAUGUGAUUAAAUUUGAGAUAAACAACUCUUUUAUGAUGCAAAACUUUAUAUUUAUUACAUGUUUUGUUAUAUUUUAAAUACCAAAAAAAAUAAAAGAAGUUAAAUAUAGAAUAUUUUUUUAUUAAUGACCAUACUAGCCAAUUUUCCCAUGAUUUUCAACUAAAUAAACACAAGAAUUUGUACUUGUAUUUGUAUUUGUAUUUUCAUGCAUCAUUUUUUUUGUUGACCAAACACGUGUAGAAACUUAUUAGUUUCUACUUUCUUUACCGCCUUUACUUCAUUUUUUUCACAAUACAUUUUCUUGUACGACUUUCCUAUCAAACAACAGAGCCAUGAUUUUGAAAAGUUAUACGUAAUCCCUAAUCUAAAUUAAAGUGUUAAAGUGAUGGAACUUAUUCUCUAAGAAAAGGUUUUCAAUGUCAAAAAGUACCCAAAUAUCAAGAUGAAAAUUAUUUGUUAAUCACAGAGACCUAUGUAUAAUUUUUGAGAGCCACAUGAGUCUAAAGAGUAAUCUAUAUUGUAAUUUAGCUCUUUCUAUUACUAAAAAUGAUUUUUGCUACUUUUAAUACUUAAUUUAGACCAUAAUGGGCUAUAAUUAGCUUUUGAAACCAUAUAAAUGUUAUGUGAAAUAGUGCUAAAUGGAAAAGGAUAAAAUGUAAUUUACCCGAUUCGAAAUGCUUCAUGAGCUCUUUAGUCAUAAAAUCACGAAUUCAUGACUUGCCUAUUGACAGUGCGAUAUUUACACAGAAAUUUAACAGCAUAUUUAAAAUUCUUACAACCAGUUUUGUAUUAUUGUUUUGGGAAUUGAAGUUCAUCAAAUUUUCUGAAAUCGCUUAGUCUAUGAGAAUUCAAAAUUGGUCCUUGCAACUAAAUUGGUUGUACUUCUUCUAAGUUCCUAAGUUCUCCAUCAAUCAUUUUGAAAAUUUUUGACGCAAAUCUUCACCUGCAGAUUGGAGAUUUACAAUCUAAACGCUUGCACUUUUAGGCUAGGUAAUAUCGAAUAAUCUAUCUUACCUUUUGUACAAGAUCUAAAAUUAUAUCUAUUACCCUUUUUUGAAGGAUUUCUCACUUACACUUUCUCCCGAACCAUUCCAUCCCCCUAUAUAUUACCUACUUAAUUGCUCCUUAAAAAGAAAAAGAAAAAGAAAGCAAACUACAACUUAAGUCGAAACAAGCCAGACGAUUUGAUUGGAAUAAAAUUUUCGGUUAUUACUUUCGAACACAUCUAGUUGCAGGAAAACUAAAUUUAAGAAAAUCCUUCAAUAUAAAUUUUUUUCUGUUAUCGAUUUGUCCAAAAAAGAGUUUAGUGGACAAAAUACCUAAAACCCUCUUUAGUUUACCAGAAACCCGUUAAUUUUUUUUUCCCUUUCUUUCCUAAACUUGCAAUCCCGUUCAACCCGAUCAGCUAAAACAGUUUACAGCUUGAAAAGUUUGAAUAAAACUCUCCCCACUAUUCCCCCCUGGAGAAAAUGGUAGAUUUAAAUAGAAAGAUGUAGGCAAUCUUUAUCCCAAGUAGGAUAAGAGGGUCUGAGCUGAAUUGCCUCAUAUAGUACUAACCUUUACCUCAUAAAACCAAAUUUAAUUGUUGGAUAGAGGAUCCGUACAGAACAAGAAACAAGAUGAAUUGUCGGACAUCUUUUUUUUUCAUCGUGCAUGAAACUGUUGAAGUAUGUGCAUCCUAAUCAAGGUUAUAGAAUAAUUGAAAUUAGGUAUCACUAUCAGAGGAGGGCUAUUAGAGUCGAUUAAAAAUAAAUAUCAAGGUUACAUGAAUUUCAUAUAUUAAAAGAAAAAAAAAAGUGUCAAGGUCACGUUAGUUCCACAAAUAAAAAAGUUACAUCUGCAACAUGUUUGCUGGGAUUAAUUUGGCUGAGUUAUUGAUGCAACCAUUUUCCACCAGAAUUAUCACUGUUUUGGUUAUGCUAUUAUUAGAGUGGAAUCGUCAUUUUUUCAAUAACCAAUAUCAGAAGAUGACUGAAACAAAAAUGGUUACUGCAACCAUUACAAACGAAACUGAAAACCAAUUGCCUGCAAAAUCUACCUUCCCACUGCACAUAGCACAUUUUUCACCUAGGAUGACUCUUGCCAAUGAACGUCCCCAGGAAAUUGCUUGUCGAUCAAUAAUACUUUACUCCUCACUCUUUCAAUCUUGGGUAAAAAACAAAAACGCCCCCGUGAUAAACCUAACACGCAGAAAAACCUCCCAUGGUUUCAAAAUAUACAACACGACCCCUCAUGUUUUGAACUAAAUUGUAAAGGUAACGGAAUCCGUUAAACUUAACGGAAAUGGACGAAAUGACCAAAAUGCCUUGAUAUAAUUAAGCAAAAGACAACUCAAAAAAAUCAUUUAUUUUAUUCUCUAAAUAGAGAGAAUUGAGGGUUAAGGGGUAGAAUAGGUAUAUUUGAUAAAAAUUAGGUAUAAAAAUUUUUUUUUUUAGGUUCCAAUAAGCCAUUUCCAUUAAAUUUAACGGAUUCUGUCAUCUUUACAAUUUAGUUUAAAGCAUGAGGUGUUGUAUUGUACAUUUUGAAACCAUAGGGGGCUUUUCUGUGUAUUAGACUUAUCACAUAGGGCUUUUUUGUUUUUUACCCUUCAAUCUUUUAUGCUUGUUUUCAUUCCCAGUUGACAAUAUUUGUCAUUCGGCACUUGUAUGUUACUCCUCGUGUGUAUCCCAUACAAUUUCUUGUGUUGGGAAGAUACCAUGUUCUUGCAUCUCAAUAAUAAUUCUAUUUAAAGAUUCAUUGGAAUGCUUCAAAGAAGUUUUUCGGGAAUGCUAUUGUUCAUUCUCACAUAGCUUUAGAUAUUUAAUUUGUUGUUUAAUUCAUUGUGGAUAAUUUGAAAAGGUAAAUUUCGACUGAAUGCGUUUGGAUUUAGAACUUUUCUAGGUUCCUUGCCGCGCCAAAGACGGAUUCUCUGUCAGGACAACUACAUGCUGCUCAUGGGAUUUUGUUGGUUCAUGAGAGCAUUCCACUUGUCAAGAUACACAGCUUUUGGCUUUGAUAUUAUACCAAUUUUAGUUUGAGCAGAGGAAUCUUUUGCAAGAAGGAAGUUUCAGAGCUUUAAAUAGGUGGUUGACUGAGCAAUUUUACAUAAGCCAAUCUCUGUUCUUUAUUAUUCUCAGUGAAAAGAUAAAAGACAUGGAUACUACCCUAGAUGAAAAUUCAGUACCGCAAAUCUAUUAUCUAGAUGAAGGAAAGAAGGAAAGCCCGUUUCUGCCUUUGACAUCGCUGGAAUUUCUGAAGCAACAUGGUACCAAAUUGAAGCGUUUGAGGGAGGGAAAUCUCAAUGAGCUGAGCUCUGAUACACCAAUGGAUACUUCUCACCAUCCAGCUUUGUCAACCCCUAGCCUUAUGAAGGCAGCAAAAGCGCAACUAUUUAAGUUCAACUCCCAGAAGAUCGAUGUUCUUUCUUAUGUGUCCAGUCACAUUGGAACUCUAUCUGGUCUCCGCUCUGAAGUUCCUGGAGACUUGGAACUUGCACUGCUACUCCAAGCUGCUGCCGAAAAGGUGGCCAAUCAACAAUAUGUGCAAGCAAGGAAGUUGCUCAUCUUGUGUGGUUGCUUUGCUUCUAAAAGCGGCAGUCCUGUCCAAAGAGUAGUGUAUUGUUUCGCUGAAGCUCUUGAAAAGAAGAUUGAACAAGAGUGGGGAAUAGCUCCAACAGAGGAACUGGUAGGGAAGCUAAGGAAGCCAUUGGAUGAGAUGCUAGCCCAAGUUUAUAUGCAACCUGCAAUGAUGACAUCUCAACAGGAAACACCCUUCACUCUUUUUACUGAGUUUACAGCAACAGAAUCCAUCUUGAAUGCUGUAGUAUCAGCAAAAAGGGUUCAUCUGAUAGAUUUUCAAAUUAACAAUGGCGCACACUGGACACUGAUUAUGCAAGCUUUAGCUGUCAGAGACGAAUGUCCCUUUGAACAUCUCAAGAUAUCGGCCGUUGGAACCUCUAAGAAGAUAAUGGAAGAGACUGGCAAGUGGUUGUCAUCUUUCGCUGAGACCCUCAAUUUGCCUUUUUCAUAUAAGAUGGUUGUAUCAGACCUGAAGGACCUCAGGGAAAAUUAUUUUGAGUUGGAAUUUGAUGAAGAGUUGGCUAUUUACUCGGACAUGCGUCUUUGGACUCAACUAGUAUGGCCCAAUCACUUGAAAGCUCUAAUGGGUGUUAUCAGAAAACUCAAGCCAAGAAUAGUGGUGGUCAAAGAAUUUGAGGCAAAUACAAAUGCACCAAAUUUCCCCGAACGCUUUGAUGCAGCACUUCUUUUAUUCAGUGCAAUGUUUGAUUGUAUCAACUCUUGCAUGGAUCAUCACGUUUUGUAUAGAAAGAUGACUGAAGAAGUUAUCUUUCCACGUAUGGUUCAAAACAUUAUCGUGGCUGAGGGAAUGGAGAGGUUUCAACGACAUGAAAAAAUCGGUUUUUGGAGGAAACUUUUCGCAGAGUUCGGAAUGGUAGAAACAGACCUGACCCGCUCAUCAUUAUGUGAAGCAAGCUUGUUCCUCAGAAGUUCUGAGCGCUUGAGUUCUUGUACUGUGGACAUGGAUGGGAAAUGUCUGAUCAUGGGGUGGAAGGGUGCCCCAUUUCAGUCUCUUUCAGCCUGGAAGUUGCAGAAUGAGUACAAAAUUUAGGACUGUUGCAGGAGAUGAAAUUUAUGGAUCCUGUCAACUGCAGGGCAUGAUUACCGACUAGCUGAUUGAGUAAUGUUUUAACCUUAUUGAUAAAGAUUACUACAAUUUCUUUGCAAUUUCUUAGUUUCUCUUGUGAGACGAGGAAGAAGAAAUGUUUAUGUUCCUAAUGCUCUAAGUCUCAAUGAAGUCAAAAUCACACCUCUCUGAAAUCUUCUAUUAAACCAUUCAAUAUACCUGCAUUUGACUUGUUCUUUUGGUGCUGCACUCGAGUGAGGUUUCGGAGUGACAUUUAUAAGCACAUCCAGACUUGGGGAAUUCCCCCAUGGUAUAAAAGGUGCCGAAACUUUGUCAUUUUUCUUUUGGAUUGCACUAAAGAUCAACAUUUCUAGCUAUUUACACUAUAAGUCUAUCCAUCAACACGAUAACAGGCAUGUGGAAGCUGGAGAGAUAGCAGGUUGAUUAUUUGAUUCUCAUAGCUGGAAAACAAAAUCCUAGCAAGAAAUUUCUAUCUUAGCUAUUAUGGUUCAUUUCAACAUUAUGGUGGUCAGCUUUAGAACAAACGAUUGUCAAAACUUUCUUCUAUUCUUUUCAACAUAGAAGUCAAAAAUUUCAAUCCGUAUUGUUUUCUUUUCUUCUUUUACUUGUUCUUAAUCUUUUGCCCUUUCUCCCUGUCUUCUUCCCCCCCUUUGGCAUCUUUCCGCAUCCAUUCUCGACCUCCAAUUCUCCUCCAGCCUGUCUGAUGGGACUCCAAUUCCAGGCUGGACGAUGACUACAAACAAUGGUCUCCUGUAUUUGUAACAUAUAAUUUGGUUUUUUACAUCUUGGUCGUCUCAGUGUCCUCUUCUUAUAAUAAUUAGUCAUAUUGAUGGCAUUUGCAGGCCUAAAUUUACACAAAUAUGUUUGUAGUUUGUAUUGAGAUCCAUUCUCCUCAAGAAAGCUGCUGCAAGACAUCAAUUGCAGGAGAAUCUAUUUCAGUGGCUUGUUAUUCUCCAUGUGGUGGCUCAUUUUUGUUUCCAAAAUUUCUCUUAUCAGAAACUCUCUUGCUAUAUUGCAGUUCAACUUUGGUCAUUGACUGUUGGAAGUUUGAGGAUAUAGUAAGAUCCUGAAAUAUUGAGUAGUGUUGUUACAAGAUGCCAGUGAUAAAUAAAGCUUGAUUUUGUAUGUUAAAAUUUGUGAAAUUCUUUGACAUAACACUACAUGAAUACAACUAAUUGAAUUUGCACAAUCAAUCUAGCUUUUUCAAAAUAAGAUGGGAGCAUGAAUCUUAUCUAGCAAACUCUUUAAUUUGUCUGAAAACUAGAGUAUGAUAUUUUAAACCCUUAUGGGGAAAACUUCCACUACGGCAUUCACUUAACUCCUGUUGCAUAUCUCAUCCACAAAGUUUAACUGCAUGGCAGAUUGGCAUUUAUCCCUAAGUGAAGGAUUAUGAUAAUGUAAUGUGACACCAAAUAAAAGUCACAUACUACAGUCUACAGCAGCUUUAGCAAGCAGAGAUCAAACCAAUUGUAGCGUGUCUGUUGUUCUAGAUCCACUUGUUAAACACAAGAACAGUCAAAUUACCAAUAUGUUACUAUUAGUUUCAGAUGGAUAUGGUACAGCCUAAUUCUUUGGCAGCAGUACU
RNAcentral lists this long non-coding RNA (22108 nucleotides) under Coffea arabica (coffee). RNAcentral's name for it is "long non-coding RNA (CARA_LNC006971)". The record is from RNAcentral. Lineage: Eukaryota; Viridiplantae; Streptophyta; Magnoliopsida; Gentianales; Rubiaceae.